This 352-nucleotide ribosomal RNA is filed under the name uncultured bacterium. Its description in RNAcentral is "bacterial SSU rRNA". It matches the Rfam family "Bacterial small subunit ribosomal RNA", at positions 917 to 1267 of the family's 1533-position model. The record is from RNAcentral.
GGGCCCGCACAAGCGGUGGAGCAUGUGGUUUAAUUCGAUGCAACGCGAAGAACCUUACCUACUCUUGACAUCCAGAGAACUUUUCAGAGAUGAAUUGGUGCCUUCGGGAACUCUGAGACAGGUGCUGCAUGGCUGUCGUCAGCUCGUGUUGUGAAAUGUUGGGUUAAGUCCCGCAACGAUGCGCAACCCUUAUCCUUGUUUGCCAGCGAGUAAUGUCGGGAACUCCAGGGAGACGUGCCGGUGAUAACCGAGGAAGGUGGGACGACGUGCAAGUCAUCAUGGCCCUUACGAGUAGGGCUACACACGUGCUACAAUGGCGCAUACAGAGGGCGGCCAACUUGCAGAGAGUGAG